This 387-nucleotide unclassified non-coding RNA is filed under the name soil metagenome. RNAcentral describes it as "partial contains 5.8S ribosomal RNA, internal transcribed spacer 2, and large subunit ribosomal RNA". The stretch from base 1 to 122 matches the Rfam family "5.8S ribosomal RNA", at positions 35 to 154 of the family's 154-position model. The record is from RNAcentral.
GAUGAAGAACGCAGCGAAAUGCGAUAAGUAAUGUGAAUUGCAGAAUUCAGUGAAUCAUCGAAUCUUUGAACGCACCUUGCACCCUUUGGACUGCUCCAAAGGGUAUGCUCGUUUGAGUGUCAUUGUACUCUCACACUCUCUGAUCCUUUGGAUUUGGGGAGCAGUGGACUUGGGUGCUUGCUGCUUCCUUGUGGCUCACCUGAAAUGCAUCAGUGCAUCUCUCGAUUGGACAUAGUACGGCGUGAUAAGUGUCUUCGCCGGCACCUCAUAUGAGGGUGGCCGAUCGGGAGCUCUGUGCUUUCAAACCGUCUUCGGACAACGCUGACAACUUGACCCCAAAUCGAGUAGGACUACCCGCUGAACUUAAGCAUAUCAAUAAGCGGAGGA